This 425-nucleotide ribosomal RNA is filed under the name uncultured bacterium. RNAcentral describes it as "bacterial SSU rRNA". It matches the Rfam family "Bacterial small subunit ribosomal RNA", at positions 356 to 772 of the family's 1533-position model. The record is from RNAcentral.
GGGGAAUUGUUCGCAAUGGGCGCAAGCCUGACGACGCAACGCCGCGUGGAGGAUGAAGAAUUUCGGUUCGUAAACUCCUGUCGAGCGGGACGAAAGAUGCGCGGGUUAAUACCCCGCGCAAGUGACGGUACCGCUAAAGGAAGCCCCGGCUAACUACGUGCCAGCAGCCGCGGUAAUACGUAGGUGGCAAGCGUUGUCCGGAUUUAUUGGGUUUAAAGGGUGCGUAGGCGGCUUAUUAAGUCAGUGGUGAAAGACGGUAGCUUAACUAUCGAGGUGCCAUUGAUACUGAUGAGCUUGAGUACUGAUGAGGUAGGCGGAAUGGACGGUGUAGCGGUGAAAUGCAUAGAUAUCGUCCAGAACACCGAUAGCGAAGGCAGCUUACUAAGCAGUAACUGACGCUGAGGCACGAAAGUGUGGGGAUCAAA